Molecule: ribosomal RNA, 1695 nt
Filed under: bacterium
Lineage: Bacteria
Description: partial 23S ribosomal RNA
Rfam family: Bacterial large subunit ribosomal RNA
Source: RNAcentral
ACCCAAGCUACUAAGAGCCAACGGUGGAUGCCUUGGCACUGACUACCGAUGAAGGUCGUGAGAGGCUGCGAUAAGCCGCGGGGAGCUGCCAACUAAGCUUUGAUCCGCGGAUGACCGAAUGGGGAAACCCGACACUCGUAAUGGAGUGUCACUGCCGUCUGAACACAUAGGGCGGCUAGAGGGAACCGGGUGAACUGAAACAUCUAAGUAACCCGAGGAAAGGAAAGCAACAGCGACUCCCUGAGUAGCGGCGAGCGAAACGGGAAGAGCCUAAACCGAUGUGGUGUGAUAGCCCGACGGCGUUGCCAUAUCGGUGUUGUGGGAUCCGCCCGCCGGUGCGUCGGAACCGGCAGGAAGUUACAAAGCCGGGUGAUAGUAGAACAGGUCUGGAAAGACCGGCCAUAGAAGGUAAUAGCCCUGUACACGAAAUCACUCCGGUCUUCCGGUGGUGAUCCCGAGUAGCGUCGGGGAUAUCUGGCGUGAAUCCGCGAGGACCACCUCGUAAGGCUAAGUACUACUCGACGACCGAUAGCGGACUAGUACCGUGAGGGAAAGGUGAAAAGAACCCCGGCGAGGGGAGUGAAAUAGUACCUGAAACCGUAGACCUACAAGCAGUGGGAGGGGGCGUUUAGACGCUCCUGACCGCCUGCCUUUUGAAGAAUGAGCCGGCGAGUUAGUGCUAUGUGGCAAGGUUAAGGCGUAGUCCGGAGCCGAAGCGAAAGCGAGUCUGAAUAGGGCGCACAGUCGCAUGGUCUAGACCCGAAGCCGAGUGAGCUAUCCAUGGGCAGGGUGAAGCGAGGGUAAGACCUCGUGGAGGCCCGAACCCACCUAGGUUGAAAACUGGGGGGAUGACCUGUGGAUAGGGGUGAAAGGCCAAACAAACUCGGUGAUAGCUGGUUCUCCCCGAAAUAGCUUUAGGGCUAGCGUCGCGUGUUCCGCUAUGGGGGUAGAGCACUGAUUGGGCUAGGGGGCUUACCCGCUUACCAAACUCAGUCAAACUCCGAAUCUCAUAGUGCCAAAGUGCGGCAGUCAGACCGUGUGGGAUGAGCUUCACGGUCGAAAGGGAAACAGCCCAGAUCGCCGGCUAAGGCCCCUAAGUGUGUGCUAAGUGGGAAACGAGGUAGAAACGCCAAAACAGCCAGGAGGUUGGCUUAGAAGCAGCCAUUCCUUGAAAGAGUGCGUAACAGCUCACUGGUCGAGUGUUUCUGCGCGGAAAAUGUAACGGGGCUCAAGCACACCGCCGAAGCCGCGGGAUUUCAUCAUCAACUCCGGCGCAACCAAAGCGUUCGCGCUUUAAACGCGUCCAGAGGAUGGGAUCGGUAGGGGAGCGUCGAGCAGCCAGAGAAGCAGCGGCGUAAGCCAGCUGUGGAGGCUGCUGGAGUGAGAAUGCCGGUAUGAGUAGCGAGAGUGGAGUGAGAAUCUCCACCGCCGAAAGUCCAAGGUUUCCUGGGGAAGGCUCGUCCGCCCAGGGUUAGUCGGGACCUAAGGCGAGGCCGAAAGGCGUAGUCGAUGGAUAACUGGUUGAUAUUCCAGUACCACCAUGCAAACGUCCAGACCAAAUGCGGUCAGCUAAGAAGGGUCCUUCGGGACGCUUCGACCCGGCCACAGGAGGUCAGCAAUGGGAUGACGCGGAAGGGUAAGUGGACCCGGGCGUUGGUUGCCCCGGGGUAAGUGUGUAGGGCGAGGUCCAGGCAA